RNAcentral lists this ribosomal RNA (1216 nucleotides) under uncultured Rhizaria. Its description in RNAcentral is "SSU rRNA". It matches the Rfam family "Eukaryotic small subunit ribosomal RNA", at positions 577 to 1804 of the family's 1831-position model. The record is from RNAcentral.
CGGUAAUUCCAGCUCCAAUAGCGUAUACUAAAGUUGUUGCAGUUAAAAAGCUCGUAGUUGGAUUUCUGCGGGGACGGAGCGGCCGGACGCAACUUGCGUCUCGAGCUAGCGCUUUCCCCGCAUCCUGCCGCGAACCGUGCUACCAUUAGCUUGGUGGCGCUGGGGAUCGGCUCGAUUACUUUGAGAAAAAUAGAGUGUUCAAAGCAGGCCACACGCCUUGAAUAAGUUAGCAUGGAAUAAUGACUAAGGACUUUGGUUCUUUUCGUUGGUGUUCGGGACUGAAGUAAUGAUUGAUAGGGACAGUUGGGGCGGUCUGUAUUCCAAAGCGAGAGGUGAAAUUCUUAGACCUUCGGAAGACAAACAGCUGCGAAAGCGUUCCGCAAGGAUGUUCCCUUUGAUCAAGAACGAAAGUUGGGGGAUCGAAGACGAUCAGAUACCGUCGUAGUCUCAACUAUAAACUAUACCAGCUAGGGAUCGGCCAACGUUUAAUUAUUCGACUUGGUCGGCACCUUAUGAGAAAUCAAAGCAUCUGGGUUCCGGGGGGAGUAUGGUCGCAAGGCUGAAACUUAAAGGAAUUGACGGAAGGGCACCACCAGGCGUGGAGCCUGUGGCUUAAUUUGACUCAACACGGGAAAACUUACCAGGUCCAGACAUAGGAAGGAUUGACAGAUUGAUAGCUCUUUCUUGAUUCUGUGGGUGGUGGUGCAUGGCCGUUUUUAGUCGGUGAAGUGAUUUGUCUGCUUAAUUGCGUUAACGGACGAGACCCCAGCCUGCUAAAUAGCGCGGCCGAGCUUUGCUCGGUACGAGCUUCUUAGAGGGACCAUGAUGCGCGAUAGCACAAGGAAGUUUGGGGCAACAACAGGUCUGUGAUGCCCUUAGAUGUUCUGGGCCGCACACGGGCUACACUGGCGCCUGCAACGAGCAUAUCAGCUGGCCCGAGAGGGUCUUGGCUAAUCUUUGGAACCGGCGCCGUGCUUGGGAUUGACCAUUGCAAUUGUUGGUCAUGCAACGAGGAAUGCCUUGUAAACGCGAGUCAUCAGCUCGCAUUGAAUACGUCCCUGCCCUUUGUACACACCGCCCGUCGCUCCUACCGAUGAAUGUUCCGAUGAAAUUUUCGGAGAGCGCCGGAGAACGGGGCUCUGCCCUGCAGAACUGGAGGCUCAAAGUCACUUAAAUCUGAACAUUUCGAGGAAGGAGAAGUCGUAACAAGGUAACC